CACCUGAGAAUGUUUCAAGGUCACCAAAAGCUUUCUGAAAAUGCCUUUCUGCAAAGAAGGUUUCCAGUACUUUCAGGGAGAGUGUUAAUUGGAUUGGAAGGAAGACACUGAUGAGCUGCUGGGAGUGAGAGUGAGACCCUCGAGGAGUCCACAGUGCAUUUUAAGGAGUGUAGCUCUGAUGAACUGCAAGGCCUUUGUUUUGCUGUGUGGGGGCCCUGCCUCUUCUCUAAAGAGAAGUUGAAGACUUAUUUAAAGAACAUCCUUUCGAAGGAGAACCAACAAUCACUAGCUUGUCCAGAGCAUGCUCAUGUCUUCAUCCAGCCCUGGAGGUAGGUACAAGUAACUCCAAGAUACUCACUAAGACACUGAACUCAGGAAGGGUCCAUAACCCAGCUACAGGAGAUGGGGCCCCGGAGUGGAAUUUGGGUCUGUCUGAUUCCAAACCCUUCCACAUCAGUGAUGGUGUCCCUGUUUCUGCCAAUAGAAUGGGAGUAUAGGGCAUGUCUACAAUGACUGUCCAGAGGGUAAGAACAAAAUAGUUAUAAAUCAGUUUUUUAAUGUAAAAAUAGAGAAAUGUGUGAGGAAUUAAAAAACAGAGAUCCUUAAAACAUCAGGAAUAGCUUUACUGUCCUAUAGAUUAUCUUGUGAUCUGAAAGGGAUUUGAUUGCUGGUCAAGAACUACAGGAGUAAAGGAAACUCUGUUGAUAAUUAGUUAUUAUAGUAUUAAGAGGAAGAAAACAGGCUUUUGCUUGGAUUGGAUGGGAAAGGCAAAGAACCAAAGAAUAUUUAUUCAUUUCCCUCUCUUUAAAAGAACACAAUAUAUGUCAGUCCCAAAAGAGCAUAUGUUGUAUGAUCCUAUUUAUGUGAAACUUCCAGAAAAAGCGAAUCUAUAGAGAUGGAAAAUAGAUUAGGGAUUGCCUAAGGCUGGGAGGUGGGAAUAAGGGAUGACUGCAGAUGGGCCUGAGAAAUCUUCUAGAAAUGAUCUAAAAUUGAACUGUGGUGAUGGAUACACAACUCUAUAAAUUUAAUAACAAUCAUCAAAUGGUAUAGUUAAAAUGAGUGAAUUUUACAGUAUGCAAAUUAUCUCAAUAAAAAUGUUAAGUAAAUAAAAUAUUAA
Molecule: long non-coding RNA, 1117 nt
Filed under: Homo sapiens (human)
Lineage: Eukaryota; Metazoa; Chordata; Mammalia; Primates; Hominidae
Description: HSALNT0307219
Source: RNAcentral